CUUAUCUUGUUGGGAAAGAACCAUUCCUAGCAAAGUACUUCCUUAUUAUGGUAUUAUUACAGUACGAAGAGACUGCAUUUGACUUCAGAACUAGAUGGAACCUGAACUUGCAGAGAUAUUUCUAUAGCAUACAGCAAAUUGCAGACAAGUGAGCAUACUCGAGUUCAUUAAACUCUGUCUAUCUCCAGUAUGGAUUUUCUAUCACCAUGUGGGAGAUUGGCACUGCUCUUGUGUGUCUGCCUUCCUUUUAAGCUGGAACCAAGGAUCUGCAAAUUAUAUGGGCCCAAAUUCUAUUUUGUUCUAUAAUGGUCCACUAUACUGAAGACAUUAUCUCUCAUUAUUGUAAGGUGCAUUUUCUACUCUUUCUGCUUCAAGUUGCCUUUGAGUCUUUUGUCUUUGUAAAUUAAUUGACUGAAAAUGUUAGAUUGAUCCCUAGGAAACAAAGGGAAUGUUUAUUGUCCAUUCUGAAGGCUCUUACAAAGAUAGUGAUAUUAAGUACUUUCAAUAGCAAAGCUCUAAUUCUCUUUGAAUCAUUAAUGUGCAAAUUGUUUUGCUCUUUGGGUUUGAAUUUCACUCUGAUAGAGUGUCUCAGCUAGAUUCAAAUGCACUGAGUGAUCCCCAGCCUGAGAUUAGCAGGACCUAUCACUUUCUGGGGCUUUAUAAAUAGACAAAAUGCUUCUGGUAGCAGAUUGCUUGCACUAAAUCUAGCAUUUGAGACUUCUUUCAGGAGGCUGACCUUCUUCCAUUCUCCUAUGCCAUCAUAUUUAAUCUAAUAGUGAGUAAAGAAUCAUCACUAGGUAGGAAUGAUAAAAAAAAAUUCACUGCUUACAUAACAGAAUUCUAUAUAUAAAAAUCUUAAAUAAAGAAUUCAAAGUAUACAAGGAGCAGGAAGAGAAUUAGUAUUCAGUAUUAAUUGGUAGAAAAUGCAAAGAGAGUCUUUAACAAAUAUUCGGAGUCAAGUCAUAGGCAGGUGAAUACCAAAGGUGAAUGAGUGCAGAUUUAUACUCAGAAAUGGAGUGAUUAGAAAUGAGCCUCUCUUAAACUGGGGCAUCCCAUUUUUAAAAAAUAUAAGCCUUCAUGGAACCCUCAGCAGUAGCUCUUCUUAAAUAAUAGAUUUGUUGAGUUGGAAGUGGCACUGGAGAUAAUUUAAUUCCUUGCCUAAUAGAGGAUCUGCAAUGUAGCUAUAAUGCUGCUGAUCCAUUGCUGUUCAACCAUAGCUGAAACACCAUCAGCAAAAAAAACACCUGCCACUUCUAAGGCAGCCAUUCUACAAUUGAACAGAUCUCACUACACGGCAUUCUCUCCUGAUGUUUAUCCAAAAUCUGCUUCAUUACAAUUUAUACCUAUCAGUUCUUAUCCUGAUAAUUGCAGUCCAUCAUCUUCUGUGCAUUCCUUCUUCCACAGAUUCGUUAUUCCACAUUCAUCUCUCAGCAAGCAGGUCUGAACCCCAUUUUACCACAGAAGUUCCACCUUCUCUAGGUAAGGGAGAACUUUCUUUAAGCAAAUUAUCCAUUGUAAAUACCAAGUCCUGGUUUAGCUAACUCUGCCGAAGGACGAUGUCUUGUGCAAAGACUGAAGACCUGCUCUUCUGGGAUACACUAGAACAGCGGUUCUCAACCUGUGGGUCGCGACCCCAUUUGGGGUCGAACGACCAUUUCACGGGGGUCGCCAAACAACGCGAUCUGCCAUUUUUUUUGUCAGCAUGCGCGUCACACAGGGGGUGACGUCGCACAUGCGCGCCACACAGGGGGCGCUGCCGCGCAUGCGCGCCACACGGGGCAGUGCAGGAGGUGCCGCCAUGCAGGGGCGGCGCAUGGGGGCAGCGCCGUGCAGGGGGGCGCUGUGCAUGCGCGCCGUGCAGGGGGGGCACCACGCAUGCACGCCGCACAGGGGGCGGCGCCACACAUGCGUGCCACGCAGGGGGCAGCGCUACGCAUGCGCGCCGCCUGCUUAUGACCGGGGUCGCCGUAUAAAAAGGUUGAGAACCAUUGCACUAGAAAUUUGGUUUGGCCAUUCUUGUGCUUCUGAAUAUUGCUCAGCAAACAUGCUUUUUCUGCAGAAACAAAGAUCGUCUGCCAGGCAAGAAUCUUAUCUUCCAGAAUACCAAACAACUGCUCAUCCAAAAAAUAAGGGACAUGGAGUUUCAGGCUGAAGUUAAUGUUGGGUUGCCCCAACAGGGCACUUGGGAACCAGCAAAAUAUCUAACAGCCGAUAUGUUAUGCCCAGCUAUCCUCAGCCUGGGAAAAGUUAAACAUACCAGCUGGGAAUUUCCAGGAAUUGAAAUCCACACAUCUCAAAAUUUCCAGGUUUAAGAAACUCUGUUCUAGAACAGGAGUGUUCAAACCUGGCAACUUUAAGAGUUGUGGACUUCAACUCCUCAAAUUCCUCAGCCACCAAUCUUCAAGUUAGCAAGUUUGGAGACUGCUUGUCUAAAAGAUUGUGGCUAACUUUUUGCCCACACAUCAUUCAGUAAAUUGCUAUGUAUUUCUUUCCUUGUAAAUAAUGGCACUAACAGGCUUAAUAAAGCACUUUUCUUAUGCCAAAGUUUUGAAUCUCAUUUUAUUUGAAAAAAAUAAAUAAAUAAAUGAAAAAGCACAGUAAAUUAAUCCAAACCUGCAGGGCUUGCCUGGGGCUCCUACUGAAAAAGAAAUAUAUUAUAGUAUGGGGCGAGAGGGGUGGGUGGGAAAGAUUCAAGCAUACAUAAUAAAUACAGUCAAUCAUUUUCAGAAAAGGACUAUGCCUGAGGGUGAGAUUUAGAUUUUAACAUAGAGUAUCAUGAGAAUCCUCCAUACAUAUAUUUAAAUAUAUAAUGGUAUAACUGAUGGUGUGAUAAGACUCCUAAACUAGGGUAAAGUAUGCUUCAAAAAUAUUCAGAGGGAGAGCAUAUCUCUGCAGAGCACAGCAGUUUUUCCUAUUCCUCAAAGCAGCUUCAAGAAGUGAAUUCAUCCCAUUAACGGGGUGACUAAAGGAGCUGUCUCUUCAGAAGCCUGCAAAGGGGGGCUGUUUUAAUGAACAGAAAAGAAGUGUGCUUGCCUGAGGCCCAAAGUAGUUCUUCUGAAUCAUUUUCACAGCAUACAAGGAUCUAUCCUAAAGAGGCAGAAAUUUAGGCUCAGUAUGUGGCCAAUGCCACACCUAGGGAGCGAAGGGAGAAAAAAACCCAGUACUUUUGAGUCAGCUGAAUCUGGGUUGGUACAUGAACUAUGCAAUCUAAGGCCACAAAGAAUUAUGGCAAUCGAUUGUUUGCUUUUUUUCCCAUCCAAGCUUGAAAUGAUCACCAGCUUUUCUCCCACCAAUUUAUACUUAAACUUGCUAUUUCAAACAUUCCAAUCAAAAUAUAUACCAUCUAAUGUGUAUAUGGCAUAUACAGGCCAAUAGACACUAGAGGAGGGGAGGAAAAUGGAAUGGAGAAUAGAAGUAAGAGACAAAAAAUCCAAAUAUUAUACUCUCCUAUUGCUGUUGAAAGCAAAGAACAGCACCUAAAAACAGCACCACGAACGUCCUUUAAUAAAGCAACUUCGCUUUCCGGUUCACACUGUCAUUUACUGACAGGGAGAAGUCAGGAACCGUGCAAAAUAAGAAUCACCGAUGAAAGGUCCAAUCCUGCACAAUUACACUUUCACCACUGAUAGUGGCCAACAUUUGUUUUAUUUUAUCGUCCAGGACACCACUUUUGUCAUCAACAUCUCCUUUCUACCUCAUUCAGCAUUCAUCCUAACAUCAUUUAAUCUGUUACCCAUUCAAAUUACAGUAUAAAACCAGAUCCUUCUGUAACUGAUGACAACAUAUGUACUGAUUUUCAGACUUCUUCAAGAAAAUAUACAAAUCAAGAUGCCUACUUGAAGGUUGGGUUCUUCACAUCUCCAGGGCUUAUUAAGGGCAGACUGAUGCUUACGUUUGAGGGUGUUUUGUCUUUAGAAAAAAAGGUACUUAGGAAAAAUCAACACGUAGGUCUCUACAGGGAAAAGAAUCAGCCUCAGGCCAAAAUUACAUGAUGCUAUUCAAACAUGUGGGCCCUUUUUGGUCUCAGCUGCUUUAAGUAGAAUGACUUUCCCAUUUCCAAGUGCUAUCAGUGAGUAAAAUGCAGGUGCUCAGAGCUGAACCAGGAUGAUUGUUAUUUUGUCUAGAAUUAUUCCCGGUAGAUAUUUUACCAAAAAGAAUCCAGGAAUGUUUUGCGUACUAAAGAGCAAGUGUGCAGUAUGGUUAUAGGAAAGCAGACCAGUGAAGAGAGAAUAAAAUCAUUGUUCUGAUAGGGUGAAGUUAUUUAGUCCUAAGGAGAAUGAAGUCAAACAGAUGAACCCUUAUUUAUGCUGAAUAAUGGAAGCAGCUAUUGCAAACAUUAUACUUUCAUAAUUUCCCUGUGUUAUACAGAAUACAUCUCCCCUUCUACCUUGCUCACUUGUAGAUGAGCAUAUCUACACAGAUGGCAACACUACCUUUCAUUUUCCUAUCUACAAGGGCUGUUCAAAGUUCUUGUAAGUGCAAAAUAAACACUUACGGUUUUCAGACAAUGUCUACACAUGCAACAGAAUAAAGUGGUAAAAGAGAAUGAGGAUAGCCGUGCCAUGAGUCUGAAGUGUCCACUCUCUCAGGACUCUCCUAUUUCAUUCUGUUAGAUAUUUUAGAUUCCAGCCUUUUAACCCUAAUAUACAAUUAAGUCUCUCUAUUGCCCAAAAGAGCAAGUAUAUGAGAGCAGAAUAAGAGCAGAUGCUAAAUAUAUCAUCUGGCAUAAACUCCCUAGUUAAAUCAAUACAAUUUAAGCUUUCAACUUACAAUAUACCAUGAUCUGAUAGUUUCAGUAGAAAAAAAAUGGCAUCAAAUGAGUUGCAACAAUUGCUAUCUUUAAAUAAGUACUGGAGAACUAUCCCCGGACCAGAUGAUGUAUAUCAGAUGCUUACCCUUUCAUGAGAAAAUGUCUAUCAAAGAAUAUGAUUUCUCCAAAGUCUCCAGUGACAGUUGGACAAAUUAUCUACUGUUCCUAGUUAAUGAACACUGUCAAAUUCAAGUGGUGGCUCAUUCAUUUUGUGCAGAUUGAGGGUUUAUUGCUAUUGGAGCAUGUUAAAGCCCUCCAUCAAGUGAAGGCAGGUGACUUCUUACUAAUGCUUGAUUUAAAAAAAAAA
Long non-coding RNA from Crotalus tigris (Tiger rattlesnake), 5117 nucleotides. RefSeq lists it as uncharacterized. The transcript is spliced from 3 exons. NCBI's taxonomy places the organism in Eukaryota, Metazoa, Chordata, Lepidosauria, Squamata, Viperidae. The record is from RefSeq and is a predicted model, not a curated record.